AGAAUCAACGCUGGCGGCGUGCCUCAGACAUGCAAGUCGAACGCGAAAGUCCCCUUCGGGGGGCGAGUAGAGUGGCGCACGGGUGAGUAACACGUAGGUAAUCUACCUUUGGGUGGGGAAUAACAGCCGGAAACGGCUGCUAAUACCGCAUAAUGCAGCGGCUCGACAUCGAGACAGUUGUUAAAGCGGGGGAUUCGCAAGAACCUCGCGCCUAAAGAGGAGCCUGCGGCGGAUUAGCUAGUUGGUGAGGUAAUGGCUCACCAAGGCGACGAUCU
This 275-nucleotide ribosomal RNA is filed under the name uncultured soil bacterium. RNAcentral's name for it is "partial 16S ribosomal RNA". It matches the Rfam family "Bacterial small subunit ribosomal RNA", at positions 26 to 282 of the family's 1533-position model. The record is from RNAcentral.